CCCUUAGAUGUUCUGGGCCGCACGCGCGCUACACUGACGAAGUCAGCGAGCAUGUCCUACGCCGACAGGUGCGGGGAAUCUUGUCAAACUUCGUCGUGAUGGGGAUUGAUUUUUGAAAUUCUUGAUCAUAAACGAGGAAUUCCUAGUAAGCGCAAGUCAGCAGCUUGCGUUGAUUACGUCCCUGCCCUUUGUACACACCGCCCGUCGCUACUACCGAUUGAAUGGUUUAGUGAGAUCUUCGGAUUGGCGCCACUGCAGCUCAGCAAUGGGCUUGGUGGAUGCCGAAAAGUUGAUCAGACUUGAUCAUUUAGAGGAAGUAAAAGUCGUAACA
RNAcentral lists this ribosomal RNA (331 nucleotides) under uncultured eukaryote. RNAcentral's name for it is "partial 18S ribosomal RNA". It matches the Rfam family "Eukaryotic small subunit ribosomal RNA", at positions 1470 to 1796 of the family's 1831-position model. The record is from RNAcentral.